This 87-nucleotide transfer RNA is filed under the name Candidatus Nealsoniibacteriota bacterium. Its description in RNAcentral is "Candidatus Nealsonbacteria bacterium tRNA-Leu". It matches the Rfam family "tRNA". From Rfam's summary of the family: Transfer RNA (tRNA) molecules are approximately 80 nucleotides in length. Lineage: Bacteria; Candidatus Nealsoniibacteriota. The record is from RNAcentral.
GCCGGGGUGGCGGAACUGGGAGACGCGCAAGCUUCAGGAGCUUGUGGAGGAAACUCCAUGUGGGUUCGAGUCCCACCCCCGGCACUA